UUUCGCAAUGCCCGAAAGGGUGACGAAGCGACGCCGCGUGAGUGAGGAAGGCCUUCGGGUUGUAAAGCUCUGUCAGGAGUUAAGAAAUAUAAGUGUGCUAAUACCACAUUUAUUUGACGAAGGCUCCAAAGGAAGCCACGGCUAACUCUGUGCCAGCAGCCGCGGUAAUACAGAGGUGGGAAGCGUUGUUCGGAAUUAUUGGGCGUAAAGAGCACGUAGGUGGGUUUGUAAGUCAGAUGUGAAAGCCUUCUGUUCAACGGAAGAAUUGCAUCUGAAACUGCGAGUCUUGAGUGUAGGAGGGGAGAGUGGAACUUCUGGUGGAGCGGUGAAAUGCGUAGAUACCAGAAGGAACGCCGGCGGCGAAAGCGACUCUCUGGCCUAUUACUGACACUCAGUGUGCGAAAGCUAGGGGAGCAAACGGGAUUAGAUACCCCGGUAGUCCUAGCCGUAAACGAUGGGCACUAAGUAGAGGGGUUUUA
Molecule: ribosomal RNA, 479 nt
Filed under: uncultured anaerobic ammonium-oxidizing bacterium
Lineage: Bacteria
Description: bacterial SSU rRNA
Rfam family: Bacterial small subunit ribosomal RNA
Source: RNAcentral